Molecule: long non-coding RNA, 778 nt
Organism: Pseudopipra pipra
Lineage: Eukaryota; Metazoa; Chordata; Aves; Passeriformes; Pipridae
Exons: 3
Source: RefSeq, a predicted model, not a curated record
GUGGAGCAUUGUCAGCCUCUGGGUGGGUAACACAGAGCUGUUCUCAUCACCUGUCCCUCCUGCUUGUGCAGUGUCUGCCACACGCAUCAUAACGUCACCUGGGUGUUUGGUGAAGCUGCAGAAGCGUGGGGUAAUCCUGGUGCUGGAGACCCUGUGGGGCUUUGGCAUGAGAUUGGCUUUAAUGUGCUAAGCAUGAUCAGCAUGAAUGUGAAGUGUCUAACCUGAGCACAGGGGAAUGGCUGAUGGUAACAACUUGAAGCAGUGAAGACGUGUGAAUAAUGUGAACAAAAUAUAAUUUAAUUAUUCAGACACUUUAAAAACUAAGCCAUAAUGCCCAGAGCCACUGUUUGCUGCACAAUGGCACGAUGACAUCGGGUGUUUUCCAUAAAUUGUGUUUCGCUGAGUGUCGCAAGCAGUGGAAACACUAGAGCAAGCACGUCAGCGCUAUAUGCACACCUAAGAAUAAAAAGAAAAGAGCUUUUUGCACCAGAAUGAAUCCAUUUUUCGUGAAAACUCUGGGAGUCACCUGACUGAGCCCGGAGCCUCCAGGACAACACAGCACCAGCCUGCAAUGGGAAAGAAAUUAAGCAGGGCUGCCUUCGCCUCGCACAUGCCUUUUAGCCUGUCGACGCGUUGCCUGUCCGUAUCCCUCACAGCGCAUCUGUAGAGCCAUUAAAUUGGAUAAUCCCUCUGGCCUUUGAUACAUUUCUGGACAUGAUUAUUUCAUUACUCGCAGUAUAUCAGUAGGAUCAUAAUAAAAAGGACUUCUGACAACCUG